This 277-nucleotide long non-coding RNA is filed under the name Linum usitatissimum (flax). Its description in RNAcentral is "long non-coding RNA (LUSI_LNC005420)". Lineage: Eukaryota; Viridiplantae; Streptophyta; Magnoliopsida; Malpighiales; Linaceae. The record is from RNAcentral.
AUAGGAACCCCUUGCUUCCGUGGGUAUGGCAGGCGCAACGGUGAACGCAGGAGGAAAUCCGUGCGUGGUUGCAUCGUCAGCCAGGACCUCUCGGUUCUCAACUUGGUCAUUGUCAAGAAAGGAGACAAUGACCUCCCCGGACUGACCGACACCGAGAAGCCAAGGAUGAGGGGACCAAAGAGGGCAUCCAAGAUCCGCAAGCUCUUCAACCUAUCGAAAGAGGAUGAUGUCAGGAAGUAUGUCAACACAUACAGGAGAACUUUCACAGCCAAGAACG